GUCAUUUUGAAAUGAAAUAAGUUGUGCUUAAGAAGUUUUGAGAAAUUUGGGUGUAACAUUCUUUAUAUUGUGAAAGUCUUCCACAAGGGUCAGUGAUCACUGUGUAGACCUUCCAUGGUCAUUUCCUGUGUUUUGUUGUCCCGUAUCAUCGACCCAUACUUGGCUAGGUCUUCACCUGCUCGUUGUAUGAUGGAGAAUGCUAACUCACCUGAAAGGACUUGGGGCAAGACUAGAAGUAUCUCCAUGGAAGAAGAGUUUACGUCGAAGAGAGGAAGUGCUAAGCAUCUCCUGGUUCCCGUUUUCACUCUCCCCUGUCAUGUAUGCACCAAGUAUCGCUCCCAGGUCAAAGUUCACAGAAAAAACAUUGACACAAAUCUGGGACCUACCAUCCACUGUGCCCUGUUUGGGGGGAAGAGAUUUCUGUAUGGACCCCUGUAGAUCCUGCAUCAUUUCCUCAUGAACAGGACCUGAAAUAUCAGCACAGUGUUGCGGGCAGGACAGGUUUCUUGCGGGGUUUCUUCGGGUCACUCCAGGGGGAGGGGACAACCAGGUUGUUAGCAAAGAAUUGCUCUAUGGCUCGCUGAGCACGCUCCUCAGUCUCUCUGUCAAGGCUACAACAGAAACAUCUUUAACCUGAGUUUACCCAAGGAUCAGCAGGGGGUCCUACGACUCAUGCUUGAUUAAUAGGGGUAAGCAGGAGUCGAGGUGACCGAGAAGAACCCAGGACUCAUAUAGGCAGGCAGAUGUAGGUCAUCGACCCCAGGGUCAAAGGGGUUAACUAGGUUUUUGGGAGUGGCAUAUUUCCGAGGAGCCACCGGAGGACGC
Mya arenaria is the source of this 825-nucleotide long non-coding RNA. RefSeq lists it as uncharacterized. The transcript is spliced from 6 exons. Lineage: Eukaryota; Metazoa; Mollusca; Bivalvia; Myida; Myidae. The record is from RefSeq and is a predicted model, not a curated record.